AGAUGUAUAUAAGAGCCAGUCAGUCCUCUUCCACGUGGGCAGACAAGGGCCCCUUUGGAUUCUGACAUCUUCGUCAUUUUCCUGAAGCCACACAGCUAAAACAAACCUCACUUCCCCUCAUCCUUGCUGUGCCUUCUUAAAGAACCCGGCUCUCAGAUGAAUCGAGGAGGGCUGUUUGUAACAUCAGCCUCAAGGCCCUGAAUGUUCAGUUAAGAUGCAAGGACACGUAACACAGGAAAGCAUCUUAGGCCUCAGCUGUGCUAGCGACUUCGUGACCUCACAUCUGAGCCGCUUGUUGCCACCACGGGCGUCCUGGCUCUGUGCACUUUGCGACACCUGUGCCCAUGUUACCAGCAGGCUUGAAAGAGUAGCCAGAACUUGCCCAGUCGCAGCACGGUUCCCCAGUUCCUACUUUUGCAGCGAUGCCUUGGAAGAUUGUCUUGAUGUGGGGCCUGUGGAAAGGAACCGUAUAGUUUAGCUACUGAAAAGAGAGGGGUUGAGAUCUCAAGAUACUCAAGGACUAUCGCCCCCCCCCCCCAAUUCUGUUCAAAUGGAGAGGCUGAAUGGGAGGUGGAAAAAAGUAACGAACGUGCCAGAAGUGCCAAGGGAAACCUGUCAGAGGCUGCGGGCUCUGUGAUUAGAGCAGACAGACGGACAGACAGAA
Molecule: long non-coding RNA, 664 nt
Organism: Prionailurus viverrinus (fishing cat)
Lineage: Eukaryota; Metazoa; Chordata; Mammalia; Carnivora; Felidae
Exons: 3
Source: RefSeq, a predicted model, not a curated record